UACAUUUAAAACGCCUCGUUUCUUGAACGACAGUGUAGAGAAAAGAAAUUUCAAGACAUUUAGUGAAAAAAAUAGAGCGUACUUUUUUCAUGUCUAUGCUGUUUACCGACCAUUUUGAUUAAUUACACUAACAGUAUGGUUGUAAAAAGUGCAAUAACGUGUUGGAAACCAAAUUCACAAUAGAAAACCAUAAUCACUUCACC
RNAcentral lists this long non-coding RNA (203 nucleotides) under Mytilus galloprovincialis (Mediterranean mussel). Lineage: Eukaryota; Metazoa; Mollusca; Bivalvia; Mytilida; Mytilidae. The record is from RNAcentral.